RNAcentral lists this long non-coding RNA (350 nucleotides) under Fukomys damarensis (Damara mole-rat). RNAcentral describes it as "lncRNA (ENSFDAG00000029150.1)". The record is from RNAcentral. Lineage: Eukaryota; Metazoa; Chordata; Mammalia; Rodentia; Bathyergidae.
ACCUUUUUAUGUUUCUUUUUAGAUAUGAACAGUGAUGGCGCCCAUUUCCCUUCCAAGUUCUUUGGUAGACUGUGGAUUGAAUGAAUCUCCAUCUCCGUCCCCGUCGUGCUGUGCGACACCAAGACUUCUUACUAGAACCACUGAGCCUGCUGCCAUCCUGACGGUUCGUGCACCCGCCUGGAGCACUGCUGACCUUCCCUCCCCAUCAGCCGGACUGGACCAUAGGACAUGAUCCUAGGUGUGUGGAGGCUCCUUAAAUGCAGUGAUCAGGCCACUCUUUGAUAGCAAAACCGCACACUCAGUGACUUUCAACUCCAAAAUGCCCCUCUCGUUUUUGCUCUCCCCGCCCC